Molecule: ribosomal RNA, 253 nt
Filed under: uncultured bacterium
Lineage: Bacteria
Description: partial 16S ribosomal RNA
Rfam family: Bacterial small subunit ribosomal RNA
Source: RNAcentral
UACGGAGGGUGCGAGCGUUAAUCGGAAUUACUGGGCGUAAAGCGCACGCAGGUGGCUUGUUAAGUCAGAUGUGAAAUCCCUGGGCUCAACCUAGGAACUGCAUUUGAAACUGUCUAGCUAGAGUCUCAUAGAGGGGGGUAGAAUUCCAGGUGUAGCGGUGAAAUGCGUAGAGAUCUGGAGGAAUACCAGUGGCGAAGGCGGCCCCCUGGAUGAAGACUGACACUCAAGAGCGAAAGCAUGGGGAGCAAACAGG